This 28-nucleotide small RNA is filed under the name Bombyx mori (domestic silkworm). RNAcentral describes it as "ovarian small RNA-21168". The record is from RNAcentral. Lineage: Eukaryota; Metazoa; Arthropoda; Insecta; Lepidoptera; Bombycidae.
UACGUCCAUAAGAAGCAUAGUGGGUGGA